GAUCUGAGGGACCUGUGUGGUUGUGGUUCACAGCUCUGAAAAUGCAGUUGGGUUCACAGGACUCCUUAAUAAUGUUACUGAAGUGUAUUGAUACCAAAAUGGGAUAUCCAUAAGUGAGGUAGGGAGUCUGACCUCUGGCUGGAUGUAUAGGUCUACUUUACAUUGCACUUACGAGAUCAGGUCCAACACCAAGCUUCCUUUCCCCAGGGACCAGACUAAGGAAGAAGAUGCUUGUGCUAAAAAACUCAGCCCCUCUGAGCACUGGAG
Long non-coding RNA from Pseudopipra pipra, 267 nucleotides. RefSeq lists it as uncharacterized. NCBI's taxonomy places the organism in Eukaryota, Metazoa, Chordata, Aves, Passeriformes, Pipridae. The record is from RefSeq and is a predicted model, not a curated record. The transcript has 3 exons.